This is a non-coding RNA of Schistosoma margrebowiei, 45 nucleotides long. The record is from Rfam. Lineage: Eukaryota; Metazoa; Platyhelminthes; Trematoda; Strigeidida; Schistosomatidae.
GUCCAGCUGACAAGUCCAAAACAGGAUGAAACGCGCAUUCUGGAU